GUUAACCGUAUAGGGGAGCCGGAGGGAAACCGAGUCUUAAUUGGGCGUUAAGUUGCAGGGUAUAGACCCGAAACCCGGUGAUCUAGCCAUGGGCAGGUUGAAGGUUGGGUAACACUAACUGGAGGACCGAACCGACUAAUGUUGAAAAAUUAGCGGAUGACCUGUGGCUGGGGGUGAAAGGCCAAUCAAACCGGGAGAUAGCUGGUUCUCCCCGAAAGCUAUUUAGGUAGCGCCUCGUGAAUUCAUCUCCGGGGGUAGAGCACUGUUUCGGCUAGGGGGCCAUCCCGGCUUACCAACCCGAUGCAAACUGCGAAUACCGGAGAAUGUUAUCACGGGAGACACACGGCGGGUGCUAACGUCCGUCGUGAAGAGGGAAACAACCCAGACCGCCAGCUAAGGUCCCAAAGUCAUGGUUAAGUGGGAAACGAUGUGGGAAGGCCCAGACAGCCAGGAUGUUGGCUUAGAAGCAGCCAUCAUUUAAAGAAAGCGUAAUAGCUCACUGGUCGAGUCGGCCUGCGCGGAAGAUGUAACGGGGCUAAACCAUG
RNAcentral lists this ribosomal RNA (545 nucleotides) under Salmonella enterica subsp. enterica serovar Paratyphi B var. L(+) tartrate +. Its description in RNAcentral is "partial 23S ribosomal RNA". It matches the Rfam family "Bacterial large subunit ribosomal RNA", at positions 645 to 1191 of the family's 2925-position model. The record is from RNAcentral. Lineage: Bacteria; Pseudomonadati; Pseudomonadota; Gammaproteobacteria; Enterobacterales; Enterobacteriaceae.